RNAcentral lists this ribosomal RNA (506 nucleotides) under uncultured bacterium. Its description in RNAcentral is "partial 16S ribosomal RNA". It matches the Rfam family "Bacterial small subunit ribosomal RNA", at positions 29 to 523 of the family's 1533-position model. The record is from RNAcentral.
AGUGAACGCUGGCGGUAGGCCUAACACAUGCAAGUCGAACGGCAGCACAGAGGAGCUUGCUCCUUGGGUGGCGAGUGGCGGACGGGUGAGGAAUACAUCGGAAUCUACUCUGUCGUGGGGGAUAACGUAGGGAAACUUACGCUAAUACCGCAUACGACCUACGGGUGAAAGCAGGGGAUCUUCGGACCUUGCGCGAUUGAAUGAGCCGAUGUCGGAUUAGCUAGUUGGCGGGGUAAAGGCCCACCAAGGCGACGAUCCGUAGCUGGGCUGAGAGGGAGAUCAGCCACACUGGAACUGAGACACGGUCCAGACUCCUACGGGAGGCAGCAGUGGGGAAUAUUGGAAAAUGGGCGCAAGCCUGAUCCAGCCAUACCGCGUGGGUGAAGAAGGCCUUCGGGUUGUAAAGCCCUUUUGUUGGGAAAGAAAUCCAUCUGGUUAAUACCCGGGUGGGAUGACGGUACCCAAAGAAUAAGCACCGGCUAACUUCGUGCCAGCCGCCGCGGUAA